This 571-nucleotide ribosomal RNA is filed under the name uncultured archaeon. Its description in RNAcentral is "bacterial SSU rRNA". It matches the Rfam family "Archaeal small subunit ribosomal RNA", at positions 319 to 893 of the family's 1478-position model. The record is from RNAcentral.
GAUUCGGGGUGCAGCAGGCGCGAAAACUUUACAAUGCGGGAAACCGUGAUAAGGGGACACCGAGUGCCAGCAUCAUAUGCUGGCUGUCCGGGUGUGUAAAAUACACCUGUCAGCAAGGGCCGGGCAAGACCGGUGCCAGCCGCCGCGGUAACACCGGCGGCCCGAGUGGUGAUCGUGAUUAUUGGGUCUAAAGGGUCCGUAGCCGGUUUGGUCAGUCCUCCGGGAAAUCUGACGGCUCAACCGUUAGGCUUUCGGGGGAUACUGCCAGGCUUGGAACCGGGAGAGGUAAGAGGUACUACAGGGGUAGGAGUGAAAUCUUGUAAUCCCUGUGGGACCACCUGUGGCGAAGGCGUCUUACCAGAACGGGUUCGACGGUGAGGGACGAAAGCUGGGGGCACGAACCGGAUUAGAUACCCGGGUAGUCCCAGCCGUAAACGAUGCUCGCUAGGUGUCAGGCAUGGCGCGACCGUGUCUGGUGCCGCAGGGAAGCCGUGAAGCGAGCCACCUGGGAAGUACGGCCGCAAGGCUGAAACUUAAAGGAAUUGGCGGGGGAGCACAAUCACUAGUGAAU